GACGAACGCUGGCGGCGUGCUUAACACAUGCAAGUCGAACGGAAAGGCCCUGCUUUUGUGGGGUGCUCGAGUGGCGAACGGGUGAGUAACACGUGAGUAACCUGCCCUUGACUUUGGGAUAACUUCAGGAAACUGGGGCUAAUACCGGAUAGGAGCUCCUGCUGCAUGGUGGGGGUUGGAAAGUUUCGGCGGUUGGGGAUGGACUCGCGGCUUAUCAGCUUGUUGGUGGGGUAGUGGCUUACCAAGGCUUUGACGGGUAGCCGGCCUGAGAGGGUGACCGGCCACAUUGGGACUGAGAUACGGCCCAGAGUCCUACGGGAGGCAGCAGGGGGGAAUAUUGCACAGUGGGCGGAAGCCUGAUGCAGAAACGCCGCGUGCGGGAUGACGGCCUUCGGGUUGUAAACCGCUUUCGCCUGUGACGAAGCGUGAGUGACGGUAAUGGGUAAAGAAGCACCGGCUAACUACGUG
RNAcentral lists this ribosomal RNA (468 nucleotides) under uncultured bacterium. RNAcentral describes it as "partial 16S ribosomal RNA". It matches the Rfam family "Bacterial small subunit ribosomal RNA", at positions 28 to 507 of the family's 1533-position model. The record is from RNAcentral.